UAUAACUAUUGUCUAAACACUC
Molecule: non-coding RNA, 22 nt
Filed under: Arabidopsis thaliana (thale cress)
Lineage: Eukaryota; Viridiplantae; Streptophyta; Magnoliopsida; Brassicales; Brassicaceae
Source: RNAcentral